This 381-nucleotide ribosomal RNA is filed under the name uncultured bacterium. RNAcentral's name for it is "bacterial SSU rRNA". It matches the Rfam family "Bacterial small subunit ribosomal RNA", at positions 28 to 416 of the family's 1533-position model. The record is from RNAcentral.
GAUAAACGCUGGCGGCGUGCCUAAAACAUGCAAGUCGAACGGGUUCUGACUUCGGUCAGAGCUAGUGGCGGACGGCUGAGUAACACGUGGGUGACCUACCUCCGAGCGGGGGAUAACUGCCCGAAAGGGUAGCUAAUACCGCAGACGUCAAUGGAGCAUACCGUUGACUAAACUCGCAAGGGGCUUGGAGAGGGGCCCGCGGCCGAUUAGCUAGUUGGUGGGGUAACGCCUACCAAGGCGUCGAUCGGUAGCUGGUCUAAGAGGAUGAUCAGCCAGACUGGGACUGCGACACGGCCCAGACUCCUACGGGAGGCAGCAGUUAGGAAUUUUGGGCAAUGGGGGAAACCCUGACCCAGCAACGCCGCGUGGGUGAUGAAGGCC